UAUAGAGGUCUCAAGCGUUGUUCGGAUUCAUUGGGCGUAAAGGGUGCGUAGGCGGCGCGGUAAGUCGGGUGUGAAAUCUCGGAGCUUAACUCCGAAACUGCAUUCGAUACUGCCGUGCUUGAGGACUGGAGAGGAGACUGGAAUUUACGGUGUAGCGGUGAAAUGCGUAGAUAUCGUAAGGAAGACCAGUGGCGAAGGCGGGUCUCUGGACAGUUCCUGACGCUGAGGCACGAAGGUCAGGGGAGCAAACGGG
Molecule: ribosomal RNA, 253 nt
Filed under: uncultured bacterium
Lineage: Bacteria
Description: partial 16S ribosomal RNA
Rfam family: Bacterial small subunit ribosomal RNA
Source: RNAcentral